RNAcentral lists this ribosomal RNA (254 nucleotides) under uncultured bacterium. RNAcentral describes it as "partial 16S ribosomal RNA". The record is from RNAcentral.
CUGCUGCCUUCCGUAGGUGUCUGGACCGUGUCUCAGUUCCAGUGUGGCCGGACAUCCUCUCAGACCGGCUACCCGUCAUCGCCUUGGUGAGCCGUUACCUCACCAACUAACUAAUAGGCCGCGAGCCCAUCCCCAAGCGCAUUGCUGCUUUAAUCUUUCGAUACUAUGCGGUAUUAAUCCCAGUUUCCCAGGGCCUAUCCCGCUCUCGGGGGCAGGUUACUCACGUGUUACUCACCCGUGCGCCACUAGAGAAA